RNAcentral lists this ribosomal RNA (466 nucleotides) under uncultured bacterium. Its description in RNAcentral is "partial 16S ribosomal RNA". It matches the Rfam family "Bacterial small subunit ribosomal RNA", at positions 28 to 507 of the family's 1533-position model. The record is from RNAcentral.
GACGAACGCUGGCGGUGUGCUUAACACAUGCAAGUCGAACGGACAGGCCCUGCUUGCAGGGUCCUCGAGUGGCGAACGGGUGGGUAACACCUUGGUGAUCUGCACUGCACUUCGGGAUAAGCUUGGGUAACUGGUGCUAAUACCGGUUAAGGGCCAAUUUCCGUGUGGUGGUUGGACAGCUUUUUCGGUGUAGGAUGAGCUCGCGGCCUAUCAGCUUGUUGGUGGGGUAAUGGACUACCAAGGCGGCGACGGGUAGCCGGCCUGAGAGGGUGGACGGCCACAUUGGGACUGAGAGACGGACCACACGCCUACGGGAGGCAGGAGGGGGGAAGAUUGCACAAUGAGCGCAAGCCUGAUGCAGCGACGCCGCGUGGGGGAUGAAGGACGUCGGGUUGUAAGCUCCUUUCGCUAGUGACGAAGCUAUGUUGUGACGGUACCUAGAGAAGAAGCACCGGCUAACUACGUG